GAUGAACGCUGGCGGCGUGCCUAAUACAUGCCAGUCGAGCGAACAGACGAGGAGCUUGCUCCUCUGACGUUAGCGGCGGACGGGUGAGUAACACGUGGAUAACCUACCUAUAAGACUGGGAUAACUUCGGGAAACCGGAGCUAAUACCGGAUAAUAUAUUGAACCGCAUGGUUCAAUAGUGAAAGACGGUUUUGCUGUCACUUAUAGAUGGAUCCGCGCCGCAUUAGCUAGUUGGUAAGGUAACGGCUUACCAAGGCAACGAUGCGUAGCCGACCUGAGAGGGUGAUCGGCCACACUGGAACUGAGACACGGUCCAGACUCCUACGGGAGGCAGCAGUAGGGAAUCAUCCGCAAUGGGCGAAAGCUUGACGGAGCAACGCCGCGUGAGUGAUGAAGGUCUUCGGAUCGUAAAACUCUGUUAUUAGGGAAGAACAAAUGUGUAAGUAACUAUGCACGUCUUGACGGUACCUAAUCAGAAAGCCACGGCUAACUACGUG
Molecule: ribosomal RNA, 497 nt
Filed under: uncultured bacterium
Lineage: Bacteria
Description: partial 16S ribosomal RNA
Rfam family: Bacterial small subunit ribosomal RNA
Source: RNAcentral